CUGACGCUCAUGCACGAAAGCGUGGGGAUCAAACAGGAUUAGAUACCCUGGUAGUCCACGCUGUAAACGAUGAUUACUCGAUGUUGGCGAUACACAGUCAGCGUCUGAGCGAAGGCAUUAAGUAAUCCACCUGGGGAGUACGUUCGCAAGGAUGAAACUCAAAGGAAUUGACGGGGGCCCGCACAAGCGGAGGAGCAUGUGGUUUAAUUCGAUGAUACGCGAGGAACCUUACCUGGGCUCGAACGUAUGUUGACUGUACCUGAAAGGGUAUUUUCCUUCGGGACAAUGUACGAGGUGCUGCAUGGUUGUCGUCAGCUCGUGCCGUGAGGUGUCGGGUUAAGUCCCAUAACGAGCGCAACCCCUAUCAUUAGUUGCCAACAGGUAAAGCUGGGGACUCUAAUGAAACUGCCUACGCAAGUAGUGAGGAAGGCGGGGAUGACGUCAAAUCAGCACGGCCCUUACGUCCAGGGCUACACACGUGCUACAAUGGCCGGUACAGAGGGCAGCUACCUGGUGACAGGAUGCCAAUCUUCAAAGCCGGUCUCAGUUCGGAUCGGAGUCUGCAACCCGACUCCGUGAAGUUGGAUUCGCUAGUAAUCGCAUAUCAGCCAUGAUGCGGUGAAUACGUUCCCGGGCCUUGUACACACCGCCCGUCAAGCCAUGGGAGCUGGGGGUACCUGAAGUUCGUGACCUAUAAGGAGCGGCCUAGGGUAAAACCAGUGACUGGGGUUAAGUCGUAACAAGGUAACC
This 750-nucleotide ribosomal RNA is filed under the name uncultured bacterium. Its description in RNAcentral is "bacterial SSU rRNA". It matches the Rfam family "Bacterial small subunit ribosomal RNA", at positions 740 to 1501 of the family's 1533-position model. The record is from RNAcentral.